UAAUGGCCGCAGGGCCGGAGGCUGGCCCCCACGAUAGGGCCAAACGUCCGUCAGGGGUGAGCAGAUGUGCGCCGGCCGUACCGCCCCAUUCUUGUCUACCUUACUCGGUUGCCUCGGCGGGCCGCGCUCUUCCAGGAGAGCCGUUCGGCGAGCCUCUCUUUAGUGGCUAAACGCUGGACCGCGCCCGCCGGAGGACAGACGCAAAAAAAUUCUUUCAGAAGAGCUGUCAGUCUGAGCGUUAGCAAGCAAAAAUCAGUUAAAACUUUCAACAACGGAUCUCUUGGUUCCGGCAUCGAUGAAGAACGCAGCGAAAUGCGAUAAGUAAUGUGAAUUGCAGAAUUCCGUGAAUCAUCGAAUCUUUGAACGCACAUUGCGCCCCCUGGCAUUCCGGGGGGCAUGCCUGUUCGAGCGUCAUUUCAGCCCCUCAAGCCCGGCUUGUGUGAUGGACGACCGUCCGGCGCCCCCGUUUUUGGGGGUGCGGGACGCGCCCGAAAAGCAGUGGCCAGGCCGCGAUUCCGGCUUCCUAGGCGAAUGGGCAACAAACCAGCGCCUCCAGGACCGGCCGCCCUGGCCUCAAAAUCUGUUUUAUACUUAUCAGGUGACCUCGGAUCAGGUAGGAAUCCCCAAUGU
Molecule: ribosomal RNA, 630 nt
Filed under: Trichophyton mentagrophytes
Lineage: Eukaryota; Fungi; Ascomycota; Eurotiomycetes; Onygenales; Arthrodermataceae
Description: eukaryotic LSU rRNA
Rfam family: 5.8S ribosomal RNA (bases 261-414)
Source: RNAcentral